Long non-coding RNA from Elgaria multicarinata webbii, 370 nucleotides. RefSeq lists it as uncharacterized. NCBI's taxonomy places the organism in Eukaryota, Metazoa, Chordata, Lepidosauria, Squamata, Anguidae. The record is from RefSeq and is a predicted model, not a curated record. The transcript is spliced from 2 exons.
GCAAGCUGGCCUAAUCUCAGGACCUACAACACAAAAAUGACAGUUUUGGAUAAGGCCAAAGGUUUUUCUGAAUUAACCCAGUGUUCUGUUUCUGUCAGCAGACAGCAUGCAUCUGGGAAGGGCUUGAUGCCAGCACCUGGGAGCUCUCUCCAGUACUGAAGUCAUCUUUACUAGAUCAUUGCAUAGCAAUAUAAGGGGCUGAGGAAUUGAUGAAGCAACUCUUUGAAAAGGUGAUGCUUGUUUUUUCUAACCUCGCUGCAGAAGAUGAAACAUCACAGCUUCCACUGAAUUUCAUUCCUUUUUUAUUCAUUUAUUUUUAAAUCAAUGCCACCGUUUUACAACCGAGAAAGAUAAAAGUAACCAUAAGGUG